This 1415-nucleotide ribosomal RNA is filed under the name Microbacterium sp. Debranta 2. RNAcentral's name for it is "bacterial SSU rRNA". It matches the Rfam family "Bacterial small subunit ribosomal RNA". Lineage: Bacteria; Bacillati; Actinomycetota; Actinomycetes; Micrococcales; Microbacteriaceae. The record is from RNAcentral.
CGAACGGUGAAGCCAAGCUUGCUUGGUGGAUCAGUGGCGAACGGGUGAGUAACACGUGAGCAACCUGCCCUGGACUCUGGGAUAAGCGCUGGAAACGGCGUCUAAUACUGGAUAUGAGCUCCUAUCGCAUGGUGGGGGUUGGAAAGAUUUUUCGGUCUGGGAUGGGCUCGCGGCCUAUCAGCUUGUUGGUGAGGUAAUGGCUCACCAAGGCGUCGACGGGUAGCCGGCCUGAGAGGGUGACCGGCCACACUGGGACUGAGACACGGCCCAGACUCCUACGGGAGGCAGCAGUGGGGAAUAUUGCACAAUGGGCGGAAGCCUGAUGCAGCAACGCCGCGUGAGGGAUGACGGCCUUCGGGUUGUAAACCUCUUUUAGCAGGGAAGAAGCGAGAGUGACGGUACCUGCAGAAAAAGCGCCGGCUAACUACGUGCCAGCAGCCGCGGUAAUACGUAGGGCGCAAGCGUUAUCCGGGAAUUAUUGGGCGUAAAGAGCUCGUAGGCGGUUUGUCGCGUCUGCUGUGAAAUCCCGAGGCUCAACCUCGGGCCUGCAGUGGGUACGGGCAGACUAGAGUGCGGUAGGGGAGAUUGGAAUUCCUGGUGUAGCGGUGGAAUGCGCAGAUAUCAGGAGGAACACCGAUGGCGAAGGCAGAUCUCUGGGCCGUAACUGACGCUGAGGAGCGAAAGGGUGGGGAGCAAACAGGCUUAGAUACCCUGGUAGUCCACCCCGUAAACGUUGGGAACUAGUUGUGGGGACCAUUCCACGGUUUCCGUGACGCAGCUAACGCAUUAAGUUCCCCGCCUGGGGGAGUACGGCCGCAAGGCUAAAACUCAAAGGAAUUGACGGGGACCCGCACAAGCGGCGGAGCAUGCGGAUUAAUUCGAUGCAACGCGAAGAACCUUACCAAGGCUUGACAUAUACGAGAACGGGCCAGAAAUGGUCAACUCUUUGGACACUCGUAAACAGGUGGUGCAUGGUUGUCGUCAGCUCGUGUCGUGAGAUGUUGGGUUAAGUCCCGCAACGAGCGCAACCCUCGUUCUAUGUUGCCAGCACGUAAUGGUGGGAACUCAUGGGAUACUGCCGGGGUCAACUCGGAGGAAGGUGGGGAUGACGUCAAAUCAUCAUGCCCCUUAUGUCUUGGGCUUCACGCAUGCUACAAUGGCCGGUACAAAGGGCUGCAAUACCGUGAGGUGGAGCGAAUCCCAAAAAGCCGGUCCCAGUUCGGAUUGAGGUCUGCAACUCGACCUCAUGAAGUCGGAGUCGCUAGUAAUCGCAGAUCAGCAACGCUGCGGUGAAUACGUUCCCGGGUCUUGUACACACCGCCCGUCAAGUCAUGAAAGUCGGUAACACCUGAAGCCGGUGGCCCAACCCUUGUGGAGGGAGCCGUCGAAGGUGGGAUCGGUAAUUAGGACUAAGU